ACUAAGGUGGCAGAAUAGUGCUUUAGAUUUAAGCUCUAAAUAUGAAUAAUUUUAUUUUCUUAGUA
Molecule: transfer RNA, 65 nt
Filed under: Nipponnemertes punctatula
Lineage: Eukaryota; Metazoa; Nemertea; Enopla; Monostilifera; Cratenemertidae
Description: tRNA-Leu
Source: RNAcentral